GCACCAGUGGUUCAGUGGUAGAUCCUUCACCUUCCACGUGAGCAACCCGGGUUUAAUACCUGGCCAAUGCA
Molecule: transfer RNA, 71 nt
Filed under: Loxodonta africana (African savanna elephant)
Lineage: Eukaryota; Metazoa; Chordata; Mammalia; Proboscidea; Elephantidae
Rfam family: tRNA
About the family: Transfer RNA (tRNA) molecules are approximately 80 nucleotides in length. Their secondary structure includes four short double-helical elements and three loops (D, anti-codon, and T loops).
Source: Rfam by way of RNAcentral